RNAcentral lists this long non-coding RNA (2534 nucleotides) under Homo sapiens (human). Its description in RNAcentral is "STXBP5 antisense RNA 1". The record is from RNAcentral. Lineage: Eukaryota; Metazoa; Chordata; Mammalia; Primates; Hominidae.
AUUGCAUAAUGCAGUAGCCACUGGAUUUGCAGCAGAAACACUCUGCUACAGAACAAGUGUCUUGGUUCACAGCAAAGAGGACAAAGAAAACAGCAAGUUUUAGGGGGUUGAAUCCUGGAUUCCCCUGGCAAACACCAUUCUACUUUCCGUCUCUAUGAAUUUGACUACUCGAAGUACCUCAUUAAAAGAAGAGAAAAAACAUCAAUUAGAAAAUAGAAAAGAGCCCUCCCUGGUGAAUUCCUGCUUCUCCUCCAUGUCAUCAUAGGUGUUGAUGGUGCUUGCCUCUGGAUAAUGCUGACUUCCUCUAGAGUGGUCACCAAGGUGAAAUGUUGGUGCCAAAUGAACUUUUCUGGUUCUUCUGAAUAUGCCACUGUUGCUGGAGAAAUGUCACUGCUAGAGAACAGAAGACUAUUAUUCCAAAGGGUAUUUGAGACUGACUGAAUCAGGUCUGGAACAUUAUUGAAAUGAGGAUGAAGAGAUCCUCCUAGCUUGGCGGAAUACUCUGCUCUGAUGGAAGUACCAUCCUGGUCCAAACAUGAAAGAAUUCCCAACAUCAAGAUUGAUUGAAACAUAUUCAAUGGGUGGUGACCAGAUGGAUAUAAACGGGCUGUGGAAAAAGAGAAUGCAUGGCCAAAAAUGGUGGUGCUCUCUGUCCAAAAACUGAGGCCCUAUGACCAUGAAUGAAGCCAGAGGGCAGGUAGGAAUAGAUCAUUUGCUCCAGAAGAAGCUGGUUGCCAUGUCUUGAGGACAGUAAACCCUCUGGGGAGGUUCCUGUGGUAAGGAACAAGGGCUCCUGGCAAUAGCCUCUGAGUGAGCCACCUUGAAAAUGGAUUGUCCAGCCCCAGUCAAGCUUUCAGAUGACUGUAGCUCCUGCCAAUGUCUUCACCACAACCUCAUGAGAUCCCAAGCUACAACCACUCAGUUAAGUUAUGCCAAAAUUCCUGAUUCACAGAAAUUGACAUACAGGAGAGGUCACAGUUAAGAUCUUGAUGUUCUAUCUUGACCCAUAAUAUAGGAACUUCAUCUUUUGGGAAGCACCAGGGAGAGCUGCCUGUGCCUGGCAGAAGCUGCCCAUGCCCCACUGAUACCCCACAGUACUUCCUGUUCUGCUUAGUACUCCUGCUUCUUUCUACAAACAACUGUGAUUCUCUACCUGGGAGCUUCCUCUGGCCACAGGAGCCUGCUCACCUGAUUGGGACACCCUAGCAGUACUGGCUCAUAGAUGGAAGGGACUUGCCUUGUCGCUGAUGAGACUUUCGACUUGGACUUUUGAGUCAAUGCUGGAAUGAGUUAAGACUUUGGGGAACUGUUGGAAGGGUGUGAUUGUGUUUUGAAUUGUGAGGACAUGAGAUUUUGAAGAGGCUAAUGGCAGCGUCCCCACCUAAAUCUCUUCUUGAAUUGUAGUUCCCAUAAUCCCCACGUGUCGUGGGGUGGAGCCGGUGGAGAUAAUUGAAUCAUGGGAACACUUUCCCCCAUGCUGUUAUUGUGAUUGUGAAUUCUCACGAGAUCUGAUGGUUGUAUAAACGCCUUCCCUCUUCGCUGGGCACUCAUUUUUCUCCUUCCUGCCACCAUGUGAAGAAGGAUAUGCUUGCUUCUUGUGCCAUGAUUGUAAGUUUCCUGAGGCCUCCCCAGCCAUGCUGAACUACAAGAACACACUCAGAAAUUUUCUCAACACAGUUUCUAUGCAGAGAAGAGAUGUGGGACAGAUUUGAACUGCUGUCAUAUUUGUAUGAACCCAAGACAUUUUCCAAGACCAAGAGGGAUAAAGACAGCAAUUUCUAUGACUGGCAUUUUACGUGCAUGCACUGUUUCCAAGUGUUCUUGUGUUCUGUGCCUUAAACAUUCUGUGUUGCAACUUUAUGAAUUGAAUUAAAGAUAAUCCCAAGCCCCCAAUUGUCUCAAAAAGUGAAAAAGUAAAUGUUAUAGAAAGAAAAGCGGGAAAAACUUUAAGCAUGAAAUAAAAGAUGGGUUGUGAUAAAAGAGGACUGAAGAAGGAAAAGGAAUGAAAGGUUCUGCCAUCCUUCAUGGCAGCCCACUCCACUUGGUAUGAGAUACUGCUCCCUUGGCUGAAAGUUAACUGCUGUACUCCCUCCACUUUCUAUAAAUGACUCCCUGUGCCUUUCCUUCACCACACAACUCACACUCUCUUCCUUCCUAGUGAGUCCACUAAGGCUUCACUGCAUUAUUACAUUUAUUUCAUUUAGGAAAAACUGACUUUAUUUUCCUUCAAAUUGUUUUUUAUUGUUUAUAUGAGCUUGGUUUUAUUGUCAUUCUAUUUUUCUCCAUGAAAAUAGAGAAAAAUAGGGUCGAAAGGUUAGGUUGGGUGGAAAGGAAUUAUAUUUUUUCUCACUAAAAUUGAUGUAAAUAUCGUUUUCAAUUGAAUGAUUUUACACAGUGGCACAGUUUCAGGUAUGUUGCUAAGCAGGAAAGUUGUUAACCAAAGCAUGAAUGUAUUAAGGAGAUGUAUGCAGAAUGACAUGCAAGGUUAUCUAUGAUUGCUGAGUGAGAAAGAGCAAGUUGCUGAGUAUUAUAUA